Centruroides sculpturatus (bark scorpion) is the source of this 492-nucleotide long non-coding RNA. RefSeq lists it as uncharacterized. The transcript has 3 exons. Lineage: Eukaryota; Metazoa; Arthropoda; Arachnida; Scorpiones; Buthidae. The record is from RefSeq and is a predicted model, not a curated record.
UUAAUAAUAAAUAAUACAAUAAUACUGUAAUAUCAAAUAUUGUGGCGAUUACUCCAAGUUAAAAUUCUUCGAAUCCGUUUGCCUAUUUAGUUUUGUUUUUUGUGGCUGUCUUCUUGGCGUCGUAUUUCUUUCGAGCCUUCGAAACACUUCGUACAUACUUUAAUUUGGAAAUUUCCGUAUUUGCGAUGGAUAUCGUACUCACUCUACUCUUUGCCAUAUCCAGUGGUUAUUUGAUCGUUGCCUUUCUGCAAUGACCAGAAUUAAUGACGACGAGAAUUAUUGCAUUUGCUCUCGAAAUACUGAAUUUUAUACUUUUCUUCUUGUCCAGUGUCAGCGAUUUUCAUUGGCUUCAAUUUGCAACUUUACCAUAUUAUACCAAUGAACGUUUAGUGUACAAAAUGUUAUAAUUUGCAUAAAAAUUUGGCUAGAAUUUCAAUGUUUGUUAUUUAAAUCCUGCGAUACUGAGAAGUAUUUCUAUAUUAUAAACAUAAU